UAGAUUUAUAAUAUAAUUAUAUUUUUAAAUAAAUAUUAAUUUGAUACAAUAAUUUAAAUUAUUUUAUUACCAUAUUUUAGAUUAAUAAUUCAAAUUAUUAUUUUAUUAGUUAUCAUAAUUAUAAAUUAUUUUUUUAUCAAUUAAAUAAUUAAUUAUAUUAUUUAUAUAAAUUAUUUGAUUUUUAUUUAACAAAUAAAUAUUUUAAAAAUAAAAAAAAGAAAAAAAUGUGGGCGGGAGUACUCCCGCCGUGUAUAUCGCUCCCUUUCUUUUUCUCUCCCUCUCCCCUUCUUCCCCAAAUCAUCAAAUCCCUAACUCCCCUCACUCUCUCUCUCUCUCUCUCUUUCUCUCUCUCUGUGAAGUACUCCUGCUAUCGAUCGAUUCGCCGCGCCUCCUGUCGUAGCCGCUGCCGCUGUCGUUGCCGCUAUCGCUGCCGCUGCCUCCAUCUCCGGUUGCCGCCGCCUCCGUCUUCGCCGCCUCAAAGAAGGUCAAUGAGACAACAAGACUCUAAAGGAAACAACUGCUAUCUUGGAGUAUAUGAACAAUUUUAUGACUAUAUAUAGUGUUUUGUUGUAUAUUUUUGAAUAGUAUAUAUGAUUGUUAAAGUGUUACUUUUAAUUAAAUAUCUUUUUUGAUGUA
Molecule: long non-coding RNA, 636 nt
Organism: Diospyros lotus (date-plum)
Lineage: Eukaryota; Viridiplantae; Streptophyta; Magnoliopsida; Ericales; Ebenaceae
Exons: 2
Source: RefSeq, a predicted model, not a curated record